Non-coding RNA from Pogona vitticeps (central bearded dragon), 4286 nucleotides. The record is from RefSeq and is a predicted model, not a curated record. NCBI's taxonomy places the organism in Eukaryota, Metazoa, Chordata, Lepidosauria, Squamata, Agamidae.
GGGGAGGGCAGGACGGUUGGCGGGAGGCCUGCCGUCGGCAGCCGGUCCGACUUUCCUUUCGAAGGCAGCCUCCCUCCCGCCAUCCCCAAAUCCUUUGGCUUCCACUUCGGUCAGACCCACGAAGCCAGCCGGCCUUCAGAUUAAAGAAGAGCCCAGUGUCACUUUCGGAGAAGACGCGGGGCAUUCUUUUACACAUCCACACGACACACCCAUCCACACGCCGCUCUCUGGGACUUGUGGGGUCACUUUGGGAGUUCAGUCUCGGGGAUGGGCCGGAUGCCUCAAGAGCGUGGAAGAGCUCGGCCGAGUCCGCUCUCGCCUUCCCCUGUAUUCCGGGCGCGCGAGAGAGCGAGCGAGCGAGCGCGCGCCCCUUUCAAACGGACAAGCUGAGGAGCUUCCCCCCCUCCUUCCCCCUUUCACGAGCGUUAUUUUAUGCUGGGGGAGGGGGGCUACUAAGCGGGGGGCCCCGUCACGUCGCAGGCAAAGCAACCCGCUGAGGGGCAGCCCCAGAGCCACCUCCCCUCGCCGCUCCAUCUUUCUUCUCUUUCCUCCUAAGCAUAACCGAGAUGCACCCUCACUCGCUCGCUCGCUCGCUCGCUCGCUCCCUCCCUCCCUCACACACGCCCGCCGGUCCACGCCGGGCUCUUGGCUCCCUCUGAAUGAACAGCUCUCGGUUCGCCAAAAGUCAGUCCCACAAGUGAGCGUGAGGGGAGGGGGCGGGGAGUCCGCGGGAGAGGCGGCGGCGACGAGGGACGAGGGCCGAGGGCGAGGACAGCGCUGGAGCCGAGGAGGAAGGCGCCGGCCGAGCCAGCCCGUUCGGGAGAGCAGCCACCGCUGAGGGCCUCAGCUGAGAAUCAGACAUCUGGAGAUAAUGAUACGGCAUGACAAUCACACAAAAAAGACCGGGGGCAGCAGCAGCAGCAAGCCAGCCAACGAGACCUGCAGCUCCUCGUGCCCAGCUCUGGGGACCUUGAGAAACCGUGGAUCUGCCAGGUUGUUUCCUUCCCCUGCCACGCCACCCCCAAACCCGCAAGAUAUUUGCUGCCACCAUUUGGUUAAAAUAAGAAUUCUUAAAACGCUCUGUGAUGCAUAAUCCAAAAAAGGAUCAGGAAGGAGAGCUGGAUCUUCGCAUCACCACCACACCAACACCAUCGUCUUGUCAAUUCUGCCGAAAUGGGAUUCUCCCCUCUCUUCUUCCGUACUCUGCGCUGGAAAUUGCCGAUGGCUUUACACCUUUACAGAGGCUAAAGGCUUUUUGCCUGAGAAUGAACCAUUUACAAUGCAAAUAGAGGCCUGUGGAGGGAUGGAUGUUUCACACUCUGAACAGCUUGAUGCACCUUAAUAGCUGGGUUUAUUUUUUGAUAUUAACAGAUGAAUAGUUGUUCCAUCGCUGCCGGAAAUUGCUGGCUUGAAAGGAGUUGAGAGUGGGGAGGGGAAGAGAAAGGGAGAGAAAGAGAAGAGAAAAGUUCGGAAUAAAACUUUGAAGGCAACAAACUUUGGAAUGUGUUUCGGAAGCACACACUACUACUCUACAUACUGAAUCAACUCACUGUUACAGUACUUUAAAAGGAUGAAUAUUUUAAAGCAUGCCUGGUGUUCUUGGGAAAGUCUGUCAGCAGAAACAAUCUGGAUUGUAGCAAAGAGGGAGCAGAAAUUCUUCUCCCCCAACCCAAGUGAUCAUAAGACGGAAGUGAGUUGUUAUCUUUGGUUAUCUAGCUGUAUGAGUGUGUUGGUCUUCAUAAAGCUAGAUAACCGAAAGUAAAAACUCCUUCAUGAUCUUCGCGCUGCACAAAGAAGUGAGAGGCUCCAGCAAGGGGACACUAAAAACCCAGGCAUGGCAGGAAUGCUUAUUAAUUGAAUGGCUCAUUUCUGCAGCUCAAGGAGGAAAAAGAGGAGGAAAUGUAAAGACAUAUGUGUGUCAAGUACAUAUGUAUACAUAUAUAAACAUGUACAACAUGCCAGGCACAGGAUGAUGAAGAAUAAACCAUACGCUGCAAAGAGGAUAUGGUAUUUAUGGUAAACAAAUGCAUGUGCAAGUUUUUUUUGCUGUUCUCUGGGAAGGUGGGAUGUAAUUGUUGUUCUGUGCACAAUCCUGUGCAUGCCUUUUGAGAAGUAAGCUCAACUGAGUUCAGUGAAGCUUGCUUCUAAGUUAAUGCAAAUAGGAUUGCAGUUUUUGAUGAACAUUUUAGAUAUAACAAGUUUGUGUUUGAAAACAGAACCGUGGCAUUGUGUGAAUUUGAUUUUAACUUAAAAAUUAAGGAGUGUGUGUCUUUCAGACAACAGAAUGUGAUUAACUUUGUCUUGUGAGGUCUUUUUAAAGUUAUGAAGUGUUAGGAGUAAUGUUGUGUCAAGGGACGCAAGUUGAAGUGAGCGUGUAUACAAGCGCCUACUGCGCAAAAUUAAAUGUCUUUAAAAGGAUAAAAAUGUGGAUUGAACAGGAAGAAGAGGUUAAUAAUGUCUGUCUGCUAAGGAUCUGGUAUGCUUCCACAACAUGGAGCGGGGUGGGGGUGGGGAGACGUGACAUUUGAUAUAAAAAAGGAGGGGGGAGGAAACAGUCUUCUAUUCAAAAUGCAAGCAUAGAUGCUUCUCUGUUCCAAGAGGGUUUCCUUGAGGAAGCUACUGAAGCAGAAAUACGUGAUGGAGAUGAGAUUGCCUCCCUCCGCCUUGUCAAAAUGUUAGAAAGUAGUGUGUGUCUUAUUCGGCAGCUAGCAUUGGAAAUGAAAGUGACAUUUACUCCAAAACCCACGUGUGCGCCUCCUCUCUUCUUGUUUAAGGAUGAUCAGAUCUAUCUAGGAAACUGUUCUGGCAUCCCAAACAGAAAUAAUUAGGACGUAUAUAGACCUGACCAAAAAGGGGGGGUGGAAGGGGGGAAUCGGAGGGUUUGGUCCUGCCUAAUUGAUUCCGUUAAACGGAAUGUCUGAGAUGUGAACGGCUGGACGCUCCCAUUCCCACGCUCGGGGGCAAGUGGCAAUGCUAUGGCCCGGCAGCCUAUGACAGACAGCCCUGUUGGGGGUUGCCGUAUGAAAAAAACAUCAAGUGCACCAUACCAGACUCAUCUCCAUCCCUUAAGAAAGUAGAGGCAUUUCCCACCCACAGCCAUCUGCAGGCUCCCAAGUGGGAACCCCAACUGUUCUGUGGCUGCAGACUGUCUCUUUCUGUUAAUUCUGUAACUACUGUUUCAGCUACUCAUAAUUAAAUAUAGCUUUGGUUCUGGGGUAGAAAUUUUCUGGGGCUCAGCUUACAAAAGAAAAAGGCAAAACAGAGCCGGUAGAAAGGAAAGUGGUUAUAUAUCUCCAGGACAAAUUGACAAGGACUCAGUUUUUGGCCUUGCAAAUGUCACAUCACACAGGCUCACAGAGUCAUUACAGUUACAUAGUUUGCUGUAGUGCUGGGGAGACAGAAGUAAAAUUUAAAUCCAUUUAUUUUGGUGAGUUGCCCCAGGUAUGCUGCCCCUAUGACAAAGCAGACUCAUCACACUUGAUAAAAGUGACAGCCAACUCAUAUUUACAAUCCCAUCAUGUAUAUUACUCAGAAGGAAAAGCAACAGAAAUUAAUGGGGUUCUUUCCUAAGUAAAUGCACACAAUAUUUGAAUUUUGAUGUUUUGGCUUGGUUUAGGGUUCCCUUCUGAAUUAGAAGCUAAAAUGAAAUGGUACAAAAAGUGUAUGUUUUAAUGUGUGCUUGUAUAUUUGUGUGUGUGCAUGUGCACAAAAUAACUAAUUUAUCAAUAUUGACAUACAGGUUGCCUUAUUUUUGUCUUGAUAAUUCCAUAAAAUUAAGGUUAUGGCUUAAAACUAAAGUCAUGAAUGAUUUGUUAGGAGUUAGUUUUGAGGAGUUUUAAUAGUAGCUUUGCACUUAAUUUUGGAUGAAACUAGGGAGAGAGACUGUUUACAAAGGGCUCAUUUUGGCUGUUCUGCACGUGCCACAGUUUACUACUGUAGUGACCAAUGAACAAUCUUGUUUAUUUACUUUAGAAGUUCUGUUUGUGCCAAUAGCUUUCCAUUGUUAAGCACUUUUCUGCUUUUUCUUUACUGCAUGUCCAGGGGUACUGUUUACCUAGGGCCAUUGUCUACUACUAUUAACAUUUACAUUACAAAGUGCAUGGUUUUCUUUCUCAAAGUGGUUCAAUUAAGGCAAUAAGAUGUUUUCUGGGGAAUCUUUUGUUUAGUGAAAAACAUUCCUUGAAGUGAAAUUACUUUUCCUUUACAGAAUAAGCUCUCACAUUUUGGCCUUUUCUGUAAAUUUUUUAAGGAAAGCACUGAAGGAUUUUUUUUGUUUUGUUUUAUGA